This 612-nucleotide ribosomal RNA is filed under the name uncultured archaeon. RNAcentral describes it as "bacterial SSU rRNA". It matches the Rfam family "Archaeal small subunit ribosomal RNA", at positions 729 to 1350 of the family's 1478-position model. The record is from RNAcentral.
UUAGAUACCCGGGUAGUCCCAGCUGUAAACGAUGCAGGCUAGGUGUUAGGGCGGCUACGCGCCGCUCUAGUGCCUCAGGGAAGCUGUUAAGCCUGCCGCUUGGGGAGUACGGCCGCAAGGCUGAAACUUAAAGGAAUUGGCGGUGGGAGCACCACAAGGGGUGAAGCUUGCGGUUUAAUUGGAGUCAACGCCGGAAAUCUCACCGGGGGCGACAGCAGAAUGAAAGCCAGAUUAAAGGUCUUGCCAGACGAGCUGAGAGGAGGUGCAUGCCGUCGCCAGUUCGUGCCGUGAGGUGUCCUGUUAAGUCAGGCAACGAUCGAGACCCGUAUCCCCCGUUGUACCAGUCUUGAGCUGGGCACACUGGGGAGACCGCCGCCGAUAAGGCGGAGGAAGGAGCGGGCCACGGCAGGUCAGUAUGCCCCGAAUCUCCCGGGCCACACGCGAGCUGCAAUGGCAGGUACAGUGGGUUCCGACCUCGAAAGGGGAAGGAAAUCCCGAAAGCCUGCCGUAGUUGGGAUCGAGGGUUGAAACCCACCCUCGUGAACAUGGAAUCCUAGUAAUCGCGCGUCACUAGCGCGCGGUGAUAAUCCCUGCUGCGGUGCACUCACCGCC